UUAUCUGUAAUUUUUUGUUUUGCUUCUUGCUCAAUAAAGAAACUUUUAUGCAAGAGUUCGACUUCUACUAUACAAGAACUAUACUCGACUCCUUGCAACCAUAUCUGGAUUGUCCAUCUUUACUUUUCGAAGGAAUACACCAGCACAACAAAAAAAAUUAGGAAUCCAUCUCGUAAAAGAAACGCAGAUAGUAAGUAAAAGUAUCUUAAGGAUCAGUGAACUGAUUUUUUUGGGUAGAAGAAAGAUGAAGAUGUGAAGAAUGCAAUUAAGAUUUUGCUGAACAAGUUUUCGAAAAUGAACUGUCAAAAAAAAAAAAAAUUAACUGAAAAACAAGAUCAAAGUCGUUGAAAAUUUUUGUGUAGUAUGUUUUUUUUUAUCUUUGCCGCGCGCUCAUUGACUUGUGUGGAUAUUUUAUUUGAAAUUCUCAAGUGCACUUAAGGUGCCGCACACACUAGCUGUGUUAGAAUUUAUAUUUUAGACAACAAAUUUGUAUGACUUUUGUGUUGUAUUUUUUUGAUUUUAUGACGUAUUUCAGAAAAUAUUUAAAAAAGAAUAAAAUUAAAUGUUUCUAUAUCGUUUCUGUGUGUGUGAUAAAUGACUUUGAUUGGAAGAAAAAGAGAGACAGAGGGAGAAUCAAAAUCUAUAAUGUUUUACGACAACUAAUGAAUUUCGAUUGUGAAAGCUAUAAAAUUUGUGAAUGUUCUUGUGGUAGAAGGUAGCUAUAUUAGAAACAUUUUUAGAUGCAACAACUUGAGAAUUGUUGUUCGUCAAGUGUGUGUAAGGAAAUAAAUUUUGUAUUUUUUUUUUUAGGUUUAUAUUUAUAUCUUUACCGGAUAUCACAUUUGUGAUGUAGAAAAUUAGAAGAAAAACGAUUUGAAUGAUUUGUAUAAAUUUUUUAAAUGCACUUGUUGAAAUUUAUGGGGAGACAAAAAAGAAUGGCAAAUCAUUCACAAACAACCCAAGAACAUGCAUAUAAGAUAAAUAUUGUACAUAUAUUUUUCUUCGUAGUCCAAAACUCAAAGUCAGACUGGGACUGCUGCUGGUCUUUCCAAGGAGGAGCGACGACUAUGACGACGACGACCGACGACAACGGGCAGAAGGCACUCUAUGGCAGUAGCUUUAGCUUGGCUUGGCUUUGGCUGUCUCCUGGAAAUUAUUAUGCCCGUCAUGACUGCAUGCGACUGAUCAAACAUAAUACAAAAUGCGACCGGCUACAUUCAGUCCUUUCCUUUCAUCAUUCGAUCGAGUUCGGCUACGGAGUUAUUAAUUCCUGGCACAUUCUAGGCGCCAAAUGCACUAUUAUACGAGUACGCCGUGCUGCCGUGCCGUAGGCAUAAACUAAGAAGAAGAGUGCUGUGCCUGAUGUGCCUUUAACCAUCGCCAUCGUCCGCGCCUCGCCCGCCGGCCGCCACCGUUGGCAUACUCGUUGUCCAAGUCUAAGUCUUCUUCGUCGUCGUCGGUCGUCCAUGUCGGAGACGUACCACGACGUGCACUCCUUCCGUCAUAUUGGUGACUUGAUUCUGUUCUAGCUUCCUAUUUUAAAUGGAAAACCAGCAAAACGAGAGGACAAGAGCGAGACCCACAAAUGGGGAAUAAAAACUACCAUCCAUCGUGUCCGAGGAGAAAGAUGGAUUAGGUACACCACCAAGGUGGAUGGAAUGGACAAUUGUUUCUCUAGUUUUUAAGAGUUGCUAUACAGAACAAACACACUAUAAAGAAGGGAUAUGGAGCAGCCUCCUGUUCAAAAAAAACAAAAAACUUGAAAAAAAUGUAUUCCUAAUCGAAGAAGUACGUGAAAGUGUGAGGUUUUUGCUUUCUUCGGGACUCGUAUAAUCGCCAGGCAAUGCCAGAGUGCGGCCGACAGUGUGACUUACCGCGAAGGGAUAGGCCCGGCCCAGCUCGGUCGUUAUCGUUAUAGUCUUUGUCGUCGUCGUAGUUCAGCUCUGAGAAUGAGAAAAAUCCACACAAAUCGAACUUUGAAUUGCACCAUGUUAAAGUAGUUGAACGACCAUAUUGUUAGCUCUGGCUGAAAAGCAAAGCUAUACUAGAACUCGAAGAAAAGAAAAGAAGUCUUGGAAAUCACUGCAAUGCCGUCUGGAAUAAUAAGCUGUUUAACAGAGGUUCUCUGUGAUAGUUCUAGAAAUCAUAAUGUAGAGUUCUAUGCUGCGUGUAAUUUAUUGCGUACCAUGUAACAACUACCGGGUUCACACGUCUGGCGUUCCUUCUUUUUUUUUUAUUUAAAGGCACGCAGAUUCACCUACAAUAAUAAUAAUAAUAAUUAUACUGUCGUCGUCGUCUCGGUUUUUGGUCUUCGCCUUCGACGUUGUCAUUUUUGGGUUGGCAUUGUGUUUUUCUGUUCGGCAGUCGUCUGGAUCGAUGCGAUGGUGGUGGCCAUUUUCAUUGAAUAAAUCGAUUAAAUGGAAUUAAAGUGUCACAGAUUGCGGGAAAGUGCUGAUGCCAGCAGAGGAGAAGAAGAUUCCCUUUCAAGAAAAAUAUACACAAUCACACCAAUAAUAAUAUGAAAGUCCCUAAAAGUUUUUUUUUUUUUAUUUGUUUUUUUCUUGUUUUGCAACAGAAGGUAUAUGAUGUAGUCAGUCUGUGUUGAUUGUAAAAAAGGACACAAGAGUUUUUGGAAAAAGGACUUCAUCUAUAUGGAUGGGGCGGCUCGGCUGUGCAAAAACUUUUACUUGUG
This is a long non-coding RNA of Episyrphus balteatus (marmalade hoverfly), 2692 nucleotides long. RefSeq lists it as uncharacterized. The record is from RefSeq and is a predicted model, not a curated record. Lineage: Eukaryota; Metazoa; Arthropoda; Insecta; Diptera; Syrphidae. The transcript has 3 exons.